GUCAUAUGCAACUUUAGAGUUGUCCCUGUUACAACAGGGUUUGCAUCUGCUGAUCAAAAAUUUUGACAAAAAAAAUGCAUCUGUACUGAACAUAUGUGGAUUCUUUGUUCUUGUCACUAUUCUCUUAACAAUACAAUAUAACAAGUAUUUACAUCAUUUACAUUGUAUUAGAUACUAUGAGCCAUUUAGACACAACUUAAAGUAUCAGGAAGAUAUGUGUAACUUGUAUGCAGAUACAUGCCACUUUAUAUAAAAGAUUCAAGCAGGGCUGGGGCUGUAGCUCAGUCAGUAGAGUGCUUGCCUAACAUGUAUGAGGCACUGGGUUCAAUCCUCAGCACUCCAUAAAAAUAAAAUGAAGGUAUUGUGUCUAUUUACUAUAAAAAAUAUUAAAAAAAAAAAAACAAAGAUUCAAGCAUGUACAUGCUUGGAUGUCUUUAGAGGUCCCGGAACCAAUUUCCCAUAGAUACUGAAGGACAAUUGUGUAUUUAAAAACAAUGAUAUAGCAUGGCAAGUUUGGUUUAUUGCAGAAAUACCACACCACAUUAACUAAAUAUCUGUAAGACAACUUAUAUGACUCGUGAGAUUAACAGAAUAUGGAAGAACUAAGUGGAUAUAUCAUGAUCGGGUUAGAUGCAGAGAAAGCCCUCAGUAAAACUUAAGUCAUUCAAGAAUUAAACAUAAGUAAAUAUCUCUUCAAAAAUUAGAGAUACCAGUCACAGUGGCAUGCGUCUGUAAUCCCAGUGAUUUGGGAGGCUGAGACAGGAGGAUGGCCAGUGUGUGGCCAGUGUGUGGCUACUUAGUCACUAUCAGUGCUCACGUUCAAGACCCUGUAAAUAAAAUUUUUAAAAAGGGGUGGGGAUGUGGCUCGAUGGCAAUGAACUCCUGUGUUAAUUCCCAGUACCAUCCCCCCUCCAAAUUAAGAAUAAAAAGAGGGAACUUUCUCUACCUGAUCAAAAAACUAUAGAUAGCAUACUCAGGAUGGCAUAGUGAAGGUAUUUCCCUGAAUCAAUCAUCAGAAAGGCAAAGCUACCUGCCAGAAAUGGUGCUCAUGUUCAAGACAUAGUGGGGACUCCAACCAUUGAAAUCAAUGUACCCAACUCCCCAUCCAAAUAUGUAAAAGAAUAGCAAAGUAAAAAUUAAAUCAGGAGGAUAUACACAGUAUAUAUACAAAAUUGUCAUUAUUUCACAUGACAAGUAAUAGUUGGAGACUGUUCAAAG
Molecule: transfer RNA, 1218 nt
Filed under: Marmota monax (woodchuck)
Lineage: Eukaryota; Metazoa; Chordata; Mammalia; Rodentia; Sciuridae
Rfam family: tRNA (bases 271-342)
Source: RNAcentral